This 710-nucleotide ribosomal RNA is filed under the name uncultured Lachnospiraceae bacterium. RNAcentral's name for it is "bacterial SSU rRNA". It matches the Rfam family "Bacterial small subunit ribosomal RNA", at positions 55 to 776 of the family's 1533-position model. The record is from RNAcentral. Lineage: Bacteria; Bacillati; Bacillota; Clostridia; Lachnospirales; Lachnospiraceae.
AUGCAAGUCGAACGGACGAGGAGGAGCUUGCUUCUCCAAGUCAGUGGCGGACGGGUGAGUAACGCGUGAGUAACCUGCCCUUCAGAGGGGGAUAACGUCUGGAAGCGGACGCUAAUACCGCAUGACAUAUUUCCAUCGCAUGGUGGAGAUAUCAAAGGAGCAAUCCGCUGAAGGAUGGACUCGCGUCCGAUUAGAUAGUUGGCGGGGUAACGGCCCACCAAGUCGACGAUCGGUAGCCGGACUGAGAGGUUGAACGGCCACAUUGGGACUGAGACACGGCCCAGACUCCUACGGGAGGCAGCAGUGGGGGAUAUUGCACAAUGGGCGAAAGCCUGAUGCAGCAACGCCGCGUGAGGGAAGACGGUUUUCGGAUUGUAAACCUCUGUUCUAAGUGACGAACAAAUGACGGUAGCUUAGGAGAAAGCCCCGGCUAACUACGUGCCAGCAGCCGCGGUAAUACGUAGGGGGCAAGCGUUGUCCGGAAUUACUGGGUGUAAAGGGAGCGCAGGCGGAGAAGCAAGUCAGUGGUGAAAACGAUGGGCUUAACUCAUCGACUGCCAUUGAAACUGUUUCCCUUGAGUGAAGUAGAGGCAGGCGGAAUUCCGAGUGUAGCGGUGAAAUGCGUAGAUAUUCGGAGGAACACCAGUGGCGAAGGCGGCCUGCUGGGCUUUAACUGACGCUGAGGCUCGAAAGUGUGGGGAGCAAACAGG